Molecule: long non-coding RNA, 5675 nt
Filed under: Homo sapiens (human)
Lineage: Eukaryota; Metazoa; Chordata; Mammalia; Primates; Hominidae
Description: HSALNT0234706
Source: RNAcentral
AACCUCUUUAUUCUAUCUCAUAACUUUGCAGUCAGCCGUUUAGGCAGGGCUCAGCUGGCUGGGCGUUCUGCUUUCCUGGCAUUGAUGGGGGUCCCUCAGUGGGACUCAGCUGGUUGAUGGCCUGCUCUGGAUGGACCAAGGUGGCUUCACUGAUGGGGAUGAUAGGAGGGCUGUCAGCUCUCUGUCUCCACAUUGCCUUGGGUCUCUCCAUGUGGUCUCUUCAGCAGCAUAAAUGGACUUCUUCCAUGGUGGCUCAGGACACCAAGAGAACAUGUUCUAGGAGGCAGGAAGAAGCAGCUCGCAGAUUCUUAAGUCUCACGCCUAGAAACGGACACAGCAUCACUUCUACCUAUGCUGCUGGUCAAAGCAGGCACAGAGCCCACUGGAUUGAAGAAAGAGGCAUAGACCCCCACCUUUAAAGGGCUGAGUGUCAGAGAACUUGUGGCCAACAUUAAUCCACCACAACUGGUCAUACCUGGGCUUGAAUUCUUGAAGGAUGGGGGAGCUCUAUUGCACACAGAGCUGCUUUUUCCAUUGCAGAGAGACUUGGAUGGUGAAAACAUUGAUCUUUUCUGUGGAGUGGUUUCCUCUCUCCCUAUUAGUCCACAAAUUUGUCUGGGUCUGAACAGCUAUUUGGAGUCUGGCCUCCCCCGAGAACUCUGUUGGAAAACUACAAUCUCUUUCUUGGGUCGAAUGCAGGUCCCCUGUGCUCUUAGGUUGUACACUUUAGCUCCACUUUGUGGUCUACUGGGAUCAGCAGGUCCAUCCUGUGGGUUAGCCCUGUCCAAAGGUCCCCGGCCACCAAGGGCAGAGCCAGGACUCAAAGGUGGCUGUGAGUCUGUGUGAGUCCCACAACUGCAAUUAUAAGCAUUUGGCUGCAUUUCCUCUCACACUGGUUCUGUUAGCUGUCAAGUGAUAUGGUUUUCAGAAACAAAGUUCACCCACUCACUCAUAUUCAUUCACCCACCCACCCAUUCAUCAUCCAUCCAUCCAUCUACUCAACCAUCCAUCCACUCAUCUACCCAUUCAUCACCUCCCCACCUCCACAUGUAUCCUCCGUCCAUGUAUGGAGCCAAGCACCUACAGGCUCAGGGCACAAGGUCAAAGGAACCCACUGUCUUGGUGACCCCUCACGAUUCUCACCCAUCUCCCAUUUGGAGCCUCUGGUCUUUAGGAAUUUGCUGUCCCUCUCCUGAUCUCUCUGUGGCUGCCCUGUGCUGGGGGCAGAUGAUGGUUCAAGGUUGGAUCCUCACAUUUGCAUUUUCUACCCUUUUGGUCUCAGUGUUGCCGUGGAAACUUUUCUGGAAGUCUUAAAAAAACUGAAGAAAAAAACCAUACAGGAAAUUGUGUCUUGUGUUCUUUGUAGCGAAUCUUGUGCUAAUUUUGAACCCAGCUUUAUUUUUCUUUAUUUUUUAACACCAAAUCUUGAGUGUGAAGAUAGAAGCUUCCUCCAGUGAAGCAGCAGCCCCGGCACUGGGCCUGCAGUGGAGACCGGGAAUGAGAGAAGCCCCUGGCGUGGGCUGGCAAGGACGCAGAGCACGGAGAGCACCUGGGGCAGGGCCGGCGCCAACGGCAUAACACAUGCUGCUGCUCCUCUCCCGCGGGGCCCAUGGAGAUGGCUGGAAGCAGCCCAACGUCAGGGCAGAUCCCUACCUUCACACUCACAUAAGAGAAGAGUGAAGUUUCGGGGACUCCACACCUCAAGGUAGUUCCACCGUGCGAGGUGCUGCGCUCACAGUAUUACUCAUGCACCUUUCUGAUAAGAAAAGUGAAAAUGUGAAGUUGAAAACUGAAGACGCCCAGCAACUUCCUGAAUCCAGCCCUCCACGUCCUGCCCUACGGGACGGACGACUCCCAAAGAGGAAUCGUUGGUGGAAGUCCCAUGUUUCGUUGCCGUUGGAAGGGGGAACUGGUCAAGGCAGGGCUCAUCUCUGGACCCACACCCCAUAACCAACAUGGAAGCCUGGAUUUGGCCCUGGAUCAGGCUGGCUCCCCAGGGAAGGGUCCAGUCUCUCCGGGGAGACAUCCCGACUUCGGGUCCUGCUUUCUCUACUGUAAUUCGAGGCUGGCCAUGCCCCUCAGUGGGCCUCAGUUUCCUCACCUGUACAGUGGGGAAAUCCAUAGGACCUACCUCCUGGGAGGGCACUGAGGACCGAGGGAAUGAAUGCCUGUCCAGUGCUCAUGAUCGUGACAAGCACUGCGCAGAAUAAAUCCGGAAUAAACGCUCACCGGGUGAGGGAGGGCAGGGAAGAUUUCUAAAAUCCCCCUGAUUUGAGAUGAGAUCUGAUUCACCCACUUAAAAAACCACAUUGGGAAAUAAUUUGAAAUGUACAGGAAAGUUGUAAGAAUCGCACAAAGAAUACUCCCAAACGUUUUGCCCAUACUCACCUGUUUUCUGUGGCAACUUUGAGACAGAAUUCACACGCCAUACAGUUGACCCAUCUCAACUGUACAAUUCAAUGGCCUUUCAUAGUCAGAGUUGUGCAACUGUCACCAGGGUCAAUUUUAGAACGUUUUCAUCACUCUCCUCUCACAAAAAACCCCUCACGUCCCUUGGCUGUCACUCUGCACCUAUUAAUAUUUUUUUGUGUUAAGACUUUUUCUUUGAGAUGGAGUCUCAGUCUGUUGCCCAGGCUGGAGUGCAGUGGCGUACAUCUCGGCUCACAGUAACCUCCACCUCCUGGGUUCAAGCGAUUCUCCUGCCUCAGCCUCCUGAGUAGCUGGGAUUACGGGUGCCCGCCUCCACGCCCGGCUAGUUUUUGUAUUUUUAGUAGAGACAGGGUUUCACCAUGUUGGUCAGGCUGGUCUCGAACUCCUGACCUCGUGAUCCACCUGCCUUGGCCCCACAAAGUGCUAGGAUUACAGGUGUGAAACACUAUGCCCGGUAAAUGUUAAGACUUUUAUGCAUCUUCUUGACCUGUGGUCUUCAGCAUUUGAGUCUUAGGGGACCUUUAAAAUAUUAAGAUAGGCCAGGCACAGUGGCUCAUGCCUGAAAUCCCAGAACUUUAGGAGGCUGUGGUGAGACGAUUGCUUGAAGCCAGGAGUUUGGGACGAGCCUGGGCAUCAUAGUGAGACCCCCAUCUUGGCAAAAAAGUAAACAUAAAAAAUAUUAGCUGGGCAUAGUGGCGAGCAUCUGUAGUUCUAGCUAAUUGGGAGGCUGAGGUGGCAGGAUCCCUUGAGCCCAAGAGUUCAAGAGUAUAGUGAGCUAUGAUUGUGCCACUGCACUCCAGCCUGGGCAAUAGAGUGAGACCCUGUUUCUAAAAAACAAAAGCCAUACUAAAAUACUCUGCAAAGACCUCAUAUUCAUUUAUUCACUCAACAAAUGUUUGUUGAGCACCUGUUUUAUGCCAAGUCCAAUACUAGGAGCUCUGGUUGCAACAGAGAGCAAAACAGACACGGCCCUGCCAGUCACCUGGGGCAGGGAAUCCCCCUGCCCCACUCCCUGCAAUAAUCGAUUGUAGAGAAGAAUUAGCAAAUCACAGCUGAGAAGGGUCUGCUGGAAAACACAGCAGAGGCCUUGACUUUGCCUGAUGAAUGGAGGUGGGCUUCCUGGCAGAGGGGCGUCUGUGGGUGAGGGAGGAAGUAGGACUGGCUGGUCAGAGGGGACGGCACACAGGAAGCUGCUGAGCAGGCAGGAGUGUGCUCCGUGGAGGAGCUAGGAGGAGGCCAGUUCUUAGCUGGAGGGUGGAGAAGGAGGGCUAAAGCCAAGCAUGCAGAGGCCGAGGGAUGUGCAGCGCCGGUCAGCCCACGUGAGAUCUUUCCUCCCUCUCCGUGGACUGGGAACCUCCAUAGUUACCACAUGCUGCGCUGACUUCUCUAACACGCUUUGGCCAAUGAUGUUUCCCUAAUCACAGCAGCUCCUCAUUUAGAAUGUGUUCUUAUUUAGGAUGCGUUCGAGUCUCUGUGAUCUGAACUCCACAUGAGGACUCCCUGGGUCCCUCAGGAACCCAUGUCCUACCAGUUAGACUCCCUUGUUUUAGACCCCUUAUUUCAGCAUUUUAUAAACUCUGUCCCGUAGGAUACUGACCCAUUUGCAACUUAGCCAAAAAAAUGAAAGUUAUGUAGCCAAACAAGCUUUGAAAAUACCCCAUUUCUUUCUGGACGUUUCACAAUGCACAGGAGCAUAUUAAAGGCUCUGAUAAGUCCUGCAGCAAAGAACCAAGUGCUUCCCAAAUGCAGUAGUUCAGGGAACCUCUUUGUUCCAUUACUCCCAUGAAGUUUACAAAACUAGUGCUAUGUGGAAAAUGCUUUGUAAAACACGGAUAAUUCUGCAAGUGAUCUGCCUGAGUGUGGAAUGCAGAUAUCCAGCCAGAGUCUGUAACUUCAGACAUGGUGUGGAAGGCCAAUGUGAAAAGCAGGAAUAGUAGAAUGGUUUUAAAAGGGUUCCCUCUAAUUACUCUUGAGUAGGAAAGUAGGAGCCGCCGACACCUGGGAACUGUCCUGGAGCCCCUGGCCGGGCUGGGCCAUUCUCCGGUUUGACAUAAACCAUCUCCCAGAACACCAGCUGCACAGAAGGUCACUCUGAGAUCACAGUAGUGAGACAAAGACAGGUCACGGUGUCACCCACAAACACCAAUUAUCCCCCUUUCCCCACUAAAAUGAAGAAUGGCUGUUUCUUGACCAAUCUCAGCUUUAUGCUGGUGCCCGUCUCCCCUCUCUAGAGGUGACAGUGAUUGAGGCACCCACUCAGAGAAUUGCCCCCUUUCUUUUGGCUUCUGGUCUACUGAGCCCCACUUCCCUAGACCUUCGCCUUCCCACUACCCACCCAAACCCCAAAUCCUACAGGGGCUCUUCCCAGCACCCUCUCACCCCGAAGUUCCUAUGGGGAGCGUCCACCCUCAUUGCAAGGUGGAAGAAACCUGGCUCUUCAACCAAAGGCCCCCAGGGGAGCGUGGCUGGAGGGCACGACACUCUCAAAAAUAUAUAAUUCUCUGAACAAAAUAUACCUCUGUUCCUUUACAAAUGAAGCAUCUGUUGAAAGUGUGUGGAACUUAUUUUGCAAAGAUAUUCCUUGUGAUAAGGCUUGAUUCCAGGUAACUCUUUUCAAAGUGAGUCACAGACCAGGAAGUCGUAUGGAAUGAGUGAUGGAAAGAUGUAUUUUACACGUUGCCCCUCAAGUCCAAACUUGAACUCAUGUCUCUCUGAACCAGAGUGGAGCUUCCUUCCAUUGCAGCCCCAUAUAUGCUGUCAGGGAGCUAGGGGGCCUGGGAGGGUGGCCACCCUGCACACCGUGUGUUACUGGGUGAGGAUUUGCACGUUUGUGGCUGAGGGGAAGACGUUCACGUUGGAUAGUUGUAAUUUCCAAUCCAGGCCCCAACUCUCUAUAACUGAGUGACUGUGGGUGAGUUUCUCCACGUUCCUGAACCUCAAUUUUCUCAUCUAUGAAGUGGGGAUGCCACUACAAAUCAGGUAGCACCUACAAAUCAGGUUUAAGGAUUUGAGUAGAUAACAUAUGUAAAGUGUUUAGCCAGUACCCUGCCAGCAAAUGGUGACCACCACUGUCACUGUUGUCACUGGUAUUAUCUAGUGGUCAAGGUCAGCGCAUCAGCCUUUGGUCAGUGUUCUUUCUCGGUUAGAGGACUUUUUGACCCCGGGUGUCCAUGAGGGUCACCUGGGGAACCUAAAAACAAUGGACUCCUGGGCUGGCCCCAAGUUUAGGGAGGAACUGGUCCUGG